Long non-coding RNA from Clupea harengus (Atlantic herring), 1650 nucleotides. RefSeq lists it as uncharacterized. Lineage: Eukaryota; Metazoa; Chordata; Actinopteri; Clupeiformes; Clupeidae. The record is from RefSeq and is a predicted model, not a curated record.
AGUGCAUGGAGCCUCUUCAUGUUGGUUGUGUGUUUAUGUGAAUUCAGCGCUUGAUUGAUGGUAAGACAUUAGUGAUUCAUACAUAAAAUAACAAUUAAAGGAGGUGUGUGUGUGUUGAAUUUGUAUUUUGGUGAAUUUAUCAGUUUAGAGUUGAGGUGUGUCUGUGUACAUUAGGGCAAUGAUGGAGGUGGUGUGUGUAUUAAAUCAAUGUUGUGUGUGUGUGUGUGUGUGUUAGGCAGUGUUGGGAGUGAUGUGUGUAUGUUAGUGGAGAGUGUGUGUUUAUUAGCGUAAUGCUUUGAGUGGUGUGUGUGUGUGUGUGUGUGAGUGUUUUAUUAGGGUAAUGGUGGGGGGUGAACUUGCCCCUCAAUUCUCCCCUGCUGUUCCAGCAGUAAUAAUGACUCCUGCUGGUCAGGGUGGGUGGGUCAAUGUGAGCCAGCUGCAAGAACAGACGGUACCUGUCAUACACACAUACACACACAGACACACACACAUCUUACUACUGACAGCCCCACCCCCUUUGCCAGUCUCCUUCGCUUCUUUGUCAUUGUGUCUUUCAAUUUCCUUUUUUAUUUCCCUUUCUUCUCCAUUGUUUAAAACCACAUGUGAGUGUGUCCAUAUUUUGGCAACAGUGUUACGUUUGGGCCAAUUUUACAGUUAUGCCAACACUGUAGGGGGCAGCACUUCCCACACAACCAACCUACCAUUUAGCUGUAGAACUUUCCAUGACUACAAAUGCAUAAGAACAUCAAGGACCUCAGUUGUCAUUUUUCAUUCAACUCUGAAUAGUUAAAAACUCUUCCAUGUGCUUUCGCUGUGUAGGAGAUGAGUCCAGAUUAUUAACUGUGAGUUUACACAUUCCUUAAGUGUGGCAAGUCUAACCCUUUGCUUGGCUUCGCAGUGCGGAUUGUGGAUUUUCUGAUUCUUCUCCCUUGCUAGUGAAGUCCAACCUUAGGAUAUCUGGAAUGAGAGCAUUUCUAUGUGUCCUGCUCUGUUGUUCAGUUUUAUUGUUGCUACGUGACAGUUGGAGAUCUGAGGUGCAGUCCUCUUCUGAUGCAGUGCAGAACACACACAGCAGCAGAAACCCGCAGCAGGGGCUCGCUGGAGUGAGAGUGGUGUCUCUCUCUCUGUCUUCACUGCUCUUUGGCUGGACUCUGCUGGCAGACCUUCUCCAAUUCCUUAUCUUCUUUCCAUGGAUGGUUCUCAGUUCCGUGUUCUACGCACUCCUUAUGUUCCAGUGGUUCUUCAUUGGCCUGACGUCCUCGGUCAGCUGGCUUUUCCUGCAGAUUGUGCUCUACUUUGUGCAUGUGAUUUUAAUGGUCACUAUUCUCUGCGUGCUGGCUGUGUUCCGGUCCGGAAUAGCAGCCAAUAAACGGCUUAAAAGCUAAACAGUUCUACUGCUUUGGCUAGCACUGAAUUGAACUGCAUAAAAUACACUGUUGGACUUUGUGUUAAUUUACUAACAUUGAAGAUAAAGAGGACCAGGCCAGGACUCUGAUUCCAGCCUCUAAUGAGGGCUUCUCAUGUGUCAGACAAGCAGCAGAAUGAGUUAUUAAGCUACAUAGCCAUAUGUCGUCAUUGCCACUGAGUUAUUCUGUUUAAGUGUUUGUGACAAAUUCUUGGAUUGAGAAUAAAAAAAAACACGUUAAGAAA